AGUCGAGCGGUUGAAGGAAGCUUGCUUCCUGAUUCAGCGGCGGACGGGUGAGUAAUGCCUAGGAAUCUGCCUGGUAGUGGGGGACAACGUUUCGAAAGGAACGCUAAUACCGCAUACGUCCUACGGGAGAAAGCAGGGGACCUUCGGGCCUUGCGCUAUCAGAUGAGCCUAGGUCGGAUUAGCUAGUUGGUGAGGUAAUGGCUCACCAAGGCGACGAUCCGUAACUGGUCUGAGAGGAUGAUCAGUCACACUGGAACUGAGACACGGUCCAGACUCCUACGGGAGGCAGCAGUGGGGAAUAUUGGACAAUGGGCGAAAGCCUGAUCCAGCCAUGCCGCGUGUGUGAAGAAGGUCUUCGGAUUGUAAAGCACUUUAAGUUGGGAGGAAGGGCAGUAAGCGAAUACCUUGCUGUUUUGACGUUACCGACAGAAUAAGCACCGGCUAACUCUGUGCCAGCAGCCGCGGUAAUACAGAGGGUGCAAGCGUUAAUCGGAAUUACUGGGCGUAAAGCGCGCGUAGGUGGUUUGUUAAGUUGAAUGUGAAAUCCCCGGGCUCAACCUGGGAACUGCAUCCAAAACUGGCAAGCUAGAGUAGGGCAGAGGGUGGUGGAAUUUCCUGUGUAGCGGUGAAAUGCGUAGAUAUAGGAAGGAACACCAGUGGCGAAGGCGACCACCUGGGCUCAUACUGAC
This 689-nucleotide ribosomal RNA is filed under the name bacterium 89-L049642-122-014-A12. Its description in RNAcentral is "bacterial SSU rRNA". It matches the Rfam family "Bacterial small subunit ribosomal RNA", at positions 60 to 744 of the family's 1533-position model. The record is from RNAcentral.